UUUGAAACGUGAGCGCUAGCUUACGUGGAGGCGCUGGUGGGAUACUACCCUAGCUGUGUUGGCUUUCUAACCCGCACCACUUAUCGUGGUGGGAGACAGUGUCAGGCGGGCAGUUUGACUGGGGCGGGCGCCUCCUAAAAGGUAACGGAGGCGCUCAAAGGUUCCCUCAGAAUGGUUGGAAAUCAUUCAUAGAGUGUAAAGGCAUAAGGGAGCUUGACUGCGAGACCUACAA
RNAcentral lists this ribosomal RNA (232 nucleotides) under Staphylococcus aureus. RNAcentral describes it as "partial 23S ribosomal RNA". It matches the Rfam family "Bacterial large subunit ribosomal RNA", at positions 2156 to 2387 of the family's 2925-position model. The record is from RNAcentral. Lineage: Bacteria; Bacillati; Bacillota; Bacilli; Caryophanales; Staphylococcaceae.